RNAcentral lists this ribosomal RNA (258 nucleotides) under uncultured Leptotrichia sp. Its description in RNAcentral is "partial 16S ribosomal RNA". It matches the Rfam family "Bacterial small subunit ribosomal RNA", at positions 97 to 354 of the family's 1533-position model. Lineage: Bacteria; Fusobacteriati; Fusobacteriota; Fusobacteriia; Fusobacteriales; Leptotrichiaceae. The record is from RNAcentral.
GGCGGACGGGUGAGUAACGCGUAAAGAACUUGCCCUUUAGACUGGGAUAACAGAGGGAAACUUCUGAUAAUACUGGAUAAGUUAGUAUAUCGCAUGAUAUGCAAAUGAAAGCUACGGCACUAAAGGAGAGCUUUGCGUCCUAUUAGCUAGUUGGUAAGGUAAGGGCUUACCAAGGCGAUGAUAGGUAGCCGGCCUGAGAGGGUGGACGGCCACAAGGGGACUGAGAUACGGCCCUUACUCCUACGGGAGGCAGCAGAC